Molecule: long non-coding RNA, 610 nt
Organism: Malus domestica (apple)
Lineage: Eukaryota; Viridiplantae; Streptophyta; Magnoliopsida; Rosales; Rosaceae
Source: RefSeq, a predicted model, not a curated record
AGUGCUACAACUCUUUUCUACAGGUUUUUUCAGGCCAAUAUUAUGAUUGGAUAUAAAACUAUUAGAAGUUGUUUCAAGAUACAAGACUUAUGUUGAUGUUUCCCAUCUGAGACAUGUGGUGCCCCUAUCAGAGGGUCUGUAUUUGUGGUGGCGUGAUGCUGCUCAAGCAACCCUGCAGCAGAAGAAAGUGUGUUGCCGAUCCUCUUGGGACCUCAUUCAAGAUCUUUGUCAGCUUUGUCGCCGUUACAUUCAGUUGUACGCUGGUUCACUACAACACUCGUCAAUUAUUAAUAAUGCAGAAAUUAGAGAAAUUGAGGAAGAUUUGGAUUCUAACAUAAUUCUUUUAUGGAGGAAGGUGAUUACAUAAUCCACUGAGCUGGGAAAAAGGGUAAAAUCAGUUAUGGGUCGCUAUAUGUAGGAAUGCAUGGAUACAUUGAUAGGAAAAUCUCAUUAUUUUGUUGGUCUUUUAUCUUGAACACUUGUAAACAUGUUCUUUAUGAGGAAUAUUUAUGUAGUUUCAUUAUAGACAUUCCAUUUCUACUAUUGAAUUGCUUUUUACAGCCGAGACUGUCAUCUUUGAUUUUAUGAAAAUUUUAAAUUUUUGGUUUUA